UCAGCAUGGCGGAACAGAUCUUGGAAAGAACUGAAAUUCAGUUACGUAGGGACUUGCUCACAUCAGGGGACGGGGAGGCCAUGGCGGUCUGGGCAGGGGUCUCGAGCACGGAUUGCGGCGGGGAACGACAGGGAAGGCUCGAGCAGCGGCGGCUCUUGCCGGAUCUGGCCGGGGUGGCUCCAUUCCCGACGGAUCUGAUGCGAUCCGGCGGAGCUUGGCCUCCAUCGCUUCCUGUUCGAAUGAGACAGAGAGAGAUGAGCGAAGGGGGCGUGGAAGAAAGGGAAGAACGGGGAGAGCAGGGCAACGACGAGGUUACCGGCGGCGCUAGGAGGUGAGG
RNAcentral lists this long non-coding RNA (337 nucleotides) under Hordeum vulgare. RNAcentral's name for it is "long non-coding RNA (HVUL_LNC015867)". The record is from RNAcentral. Lineage: Eukaryota; Viridiplantae; Streptophyta; Magnoliopsida; Poales; Poaceae.